This 440-nucleotide long non-coding RNA is filed under the name Spirodela polyrhiza (greater duckweed). Its description in RNAcentral is "long non-coding RNA (SPOL_LNC001175)". Lineage: Eukaryota; Viridiplantae; Streptophyta; Magnoliopsida; Alismatales; Araceae. The record is from RNAcentral.
GAGGUUGUCUGGAUCGGGGGGGCAGGGCCUGAAUGGCGUGUAGGUCAUGUAGCGGUGAAGGAGCUCGGGGUGGUCAUGGCAGGCGGAGGCGAUGGGGGAGAGCGAGGCGUAGAGGAGGAGAUCGGCGGGGGAGGAAGGGGAGCGGAGGGUGGUGGCGGAGGAGGAGCGGAGCCCGGUGAGGUGGGAGAUGGUGGCGCGGAUAGUGGCGAGCUGCUGCUGGAGGCGAUCCGGGAUCUGCGCCGCCGGCUGCCUGGCGGCGCCGCCGGGGGAGUACGAGGAGAUGGAGGAGAGGUGGUAGAGAGAGAGUAAGUUGGUGCCUACCAUGGCGAAGAGGAGCAGCAGGUUCAGCCCCAUGCCCAGGCCCAUCCUCUCCUUCUCCUUCCUUCCUCCCCUCCACCGCCACCGCCCUCGUCUCCCUCGGACUCGAGUUUCCUUCCCAC